RNAcentral lists this ribosomal RNA (496 nucleotides) under uncultured bacterium. RNAcentral describes it as "partial 16S ribosomal RNA". It matches the Rfam family "Bacterial small subunit ribosomal RNA", at positions 28 to 506 of the family's 1533-position model. The record is from RNAcentral.
GAUGAACGCUGGCGGCGUGCCUAAUACAUGCAAGUCGAGCGAACGGACGAGAAGCUUGCUUCUCUGAUGUUAGCGGCGGACGGGUGAGUAACACGUGGAUAACCUACCUAUAAGACUGGGAUAACUUCGGGAAACCGGAGCUAAUACCGGAUAAUAUUUUGAACCGCAUGGUUCAAAAGUGAAAGACGGUCUUGCUGUCACUUAUAGAAGGAUCCGCGCUGCAUUAGCUAGUUGGUAAGGUAACGGCUUACCAAGGCAACGAUGCAUAGCCGACCUGAGAGGGGGAUCGGCCACACUGGAACUGAGACCCGGUCCAGACCCCAACGGGGGGCAGCAGUAGGGAAUCUUCCGCAAGGGGCGAAAGCCUGACGGAGAAACCCCGGGUGAGUGAUGAAGGUCUUCGGAUCGUAAAACUCUUUUAUUAGGGAAAAACAUAUGUGAAAGUAACUGUGCAAAUUUGGACGGUACCUAAUCAAAAAGCCACGGCUAACUACGU